AUGGACUGGACACAAUCUAAUGCAACAUUUAACAUAAUGUCGGGUACCUCAAUGUCAUGCCCUCACUUAAGUGGCAUUGCAGGCUUGCUAAAGAGCUCACACGAGUCACACCCUGACUGGUCACCAGCUGCAAUCAAAUCUGCCAUCAUGACAAGUGCCAAUGUACUGAACCUCGCAGGCAUGCCCAUUGUUGAUCAAAUGCUUAAUCGCGCAGACGUAUUUGCAAUUGGUGCAGGCCAUGUUAACCCUUCGAAAGCAAAUAACCCAGGGCUCAUCUACAACACAUAAUCAGAGGAUUACAUUCCUUAUUUGUGUGGUUUGAAUUACACAGACAAAUAGAUACAGAUCAUCACCCAAAAAACAGUGAACUGCUCUCAAGUUGGGGUCAUACCAGAAGCACAACUAAACUAUCCUUCAUUUUGUAUUACAACAGGAUCCAAUGAGACUGAAUCUCAGUAUUAUACAAGGACAGUGAGGAACAUUGGCCCGGCUAGUUCAACUUACAACUUGGAUCUUCUUGUACCACAUAAAAUGGGCAUGAGUGUGAAACCUGAGGUGCUUACAUUCACAGAGGUCAACCAGGAGAUUACGUACCAUGUGGAGUUUAUUGCAGAAGAUGGUGCUGGCAAGGAUGGUGUAGCAUUUGGUCAGGGGUAUUUGAGAUGGGUUUCUGAUAAGCAUAAUGUUACUAGCCCAAUAUCUGUGAUCUUUGACAAUCAUUCAAUCUUAAUGUAG
Molecule: long non-coding RNA, 735 nt
Filed under: Prunus dulcis (almond)
Lineage: Eukaryota; Viridiplantae; Streptophyta; Magnoliopsida; Rosales; Rosaceae
Description: sRNA ncRNA
Source: RNAcentral